RNAcentral lists this transfer RNA (71 nucleotides) under Fukomys damarensis (Damara mole-rat). It matches the Rfam family "tRNA". Rfam says of the family: Transfer RNA (tRNA) molecules are approximately 80 nucleotides in length. Their secondary structure includes four short double-helical elements and three loops (D, anti-codon, and T loops). Further hydrogen bonds mediate the characteristic L-shaped molecular structure. tRNAs have two regions of fundamental functional importance: the anti-codon, which is responsible for specific mRNA codon recognition, and the 3' end, to which the tRNAs corresponding amino acid is attached (by aminoacyl-tRNA synthetases). tRNAs cope with the degeneracy of the genetic code in two manners: having more than one tRNA (with a specific anti-codon) for a particular amino acid; and 'wobble' base-pairing, i.e. permitting non-standard base-pairing at the 3rd anti-codon position. Lineage: Eukaryota; Metazoa; Chordata; Mammalia; Rodentia; Bathyergidae. The record is from Rfam by way of RNAcentral.
UGCAGUAUGGUUCAAUGGUAGAGUACUUGCCUCGCAUGCACGUGGUUCUGGGUUCAAUCCCAGUCUUACAA